GUUUCCUAGGGAGGCAGCAGUAAGGAAUAUUGGUCAAUGGGCGGGAGCCUGAACCAGCCAAGUCGCGUGAGGGAAGACGGUCCUAUGGAUUGUAAACCUCUUUUGUCGGGGAGCAAAGCGAGUCACGUGUGACUCAUUGAGAGUACCCGAAGAAAAAGCAUCGGCUAACUCCGUGCCAGCAGCCGCGGUAAUACGGAGGAUGCGAGCGUUAUCCGGAUUUAUUGGGUUUAAAGGGUGCGCAGCCGGUCUGUUAAGUCAGCGGUCAAAGCCCGGGGCUCAACCCCGGCCCGCCGUUGAAACUGGCA
RNAcentral lists this ribosomal RNA (305 nucleotides) under uncultured bacterium. Its description in RNAcentral is "bacterial SSU rRNA". It matches the Rfam family "Bacterial small subunit ribosomal RNA", at positions 334 to 638 of the family's 1533-position model. The record is from RNAcentral.